CGAGUGGCGGACGGGCGAGGAAUACAUCGGAAUCUACUCUUUCGUGGGGGAUAACGUAGGGAAACUUACGCUAAUACCGCAUACGACCUACGGGUGAAAGCGGAGGACCUUCGGGCUUCGCGCGAUUGAAUGAGCCGAUGUCGGAUUAGCUAGUUGGCGGGGUAAAGGCCCACCAAGGCGACGAUCCGCAGCUGGUCUGAGAGGAUGAUCAGCCACACUGGAACUGAGACACGGUCCAG
RNAcentral lists this ribosomal RNA (239 nucleotides) under uncultured Lysobacterales bacterium. RNAcentral describes it as "uncultured Xanthomonadales bacterium partial 16S ribosomal RNA". It matches the Rfam family "Bacterial small subunit ribosomal RNA", at positions 92 to 334 of the family's 1533-position model. Lineage: Bacteria; Pseudomonadati; Pseudomonadota; Gammaproteobacteria; Lysobacterales. The record is from RNAcentral.